Molecule: long non-coding RNA, 160 nt
Organism: Haliotis rubra (blacklip abalone)
Lineage: Eukaryota; Metazoa; Mollusca; Gastropoda; Lepetellida; Haliotidae
Exons: 3
Source: RefSeq, a predicted model, not a curated record
AGAGAGAGAGAGAGAGAGGGGUAGAGAGAGGAAAGAAUAUUUAACUCGACGUUAGCCCCUUACGUAACACCGCACCUUAGCUCAUAUAAGAAAAAGGCUCAAUGUAUAUAGUUCGUUAACCAGAACAGGACACUAGAACCCAUACAGCAUUGAUAUCUUG